RNAcentral lists this ribosomal RNA (432 nucleotides) under uncultured bacterium. RNAcentral describes it as "bacterial SSU rRNA". It matches the Rfam family "Bacterial small subunit ribosomal RNA", at positions 958 to 1392 of the family's 1533-position model. The record is from RNAcentral.
AACGCGAAGAACCUUACCAAGGCUUGACAUCCCCCUGACAGGUGUAGAGAUACACUGUUCCUGCGGGACAGGGGAGACAGGUGGUGCAUGGUUGUCGUCAGCUCGUGUCGUGAGAUGUUGGGUUAAGUCCCGCAACGAGCGCAACCCUUAUCUUUAGUAGCCAGCAGUAAGAUGGGCACUCUAGAGAGACUGCCGUGGAUAACACGGAGGAAGGUGGGGACGACGUCAAAUCAUCAUGCCCCUUAUGUCUUGGGCAACACACGUGCUACAAUGGCUCGAACAAAGUGAAGCAAGCCCGCGAGGUGGAGCAAAUCACUAAAAGGAGUCCCAGUUCGGAUUGUAGUCUGCAACUCGACUACAUGAAGUUGGAAUCGCUAGUAAUCGCAAAUCAGCAUGUUGCGGUGAAUACGUUCCCGGGUCUUGUACACACCG